AGUCACUGACAUUAGAUACCCCUGUAGUCCCAGCCGUAAACAAUGUGCGUUAGGUGUGUCGGUAACCACGCGUUACUGAUGCGCCGAAGUGAAAUCGUGAAACGCACCACCUGGGAAGUACGGUCGCAAGGCUGAAACUUAAAGGAAUUGGCGGGGGAGCACCACAACAGGUGGAGCCUGCGGUUUAAUUGGAUUCAACGCCGGACAUCUCACCGGAUAAGACAGCUGAAUGAUUGUCAAUCUGAAGGUUUUACAUGACUAGCUG
Molecule: ribosomal RNA, 265 nt
Filed under: uncultured archaeon
Lineage: Archaea
Description: partial 16S ribosomal RNA
Rfam family: Archaeal small subunit ribosomal RNA
Source: RNAcentral